AGGUUGGCUCAGAAGCAGCCAUCCUUUAAAGAGUGCGUAACAGCUCACUAGUCGAGUGACCCUGCGCCGAAAAUGUACCGGGGCUAAGCCUGAUACCGAAACUGCGGAUUGUAGGAAACUAUAGUGGUAGGGGAGCGUUGUAUACGAGUAGAAGCCGUACCGUGAGGAGCGGUGGAUUGUAUAGAAGUGAGAAUGCCGGUGUGAGUAGCGAGAUGUAGGUGAGAAUCCUACACACCGAAAGCCCAAGGAUUCCAGGGGAAGGUUCGUCCGCCCUGGGUAAGUCGGGACCUAACGCGAGGCCGAAAGGCGUAGUGGAUGGAAAGCAGGCGAAAGAUUCCUGCACCCGUAUAUGGAGCGAAGGAGUGACGGAGACGGAUAGUGUGACCCUCUUAAUGGAUUGAGGGCGAAGCGAAGCGGCUGGUUACCAGGCAAAUCCGGUAACCAUAAGGCUAGAGCGUGAUAGGUAAGCGAAAUCUUAGGAGAGUAGCGAAGCACAUGAUGACGGCUUCCAGGAAAAGCUUCUGGCAAUGCAUAUGCGGCCCGUACCAAAACCGACACAGGUGGGCAGGGAGAGAAUCCCGAGGUGAGCGAGAGAACUGUUGCCAAGGAACUCGGCAAAAUGACUCCGUAAGUUAGCGAGAAGGAGUGCUUAAGCAAUUAAGCCGCAGUGAAGAGGCCCAAGCGACUGUUUAACUAAAACACAGCUCUCUGCGAAGUCGCAAGACGAAGUAUAGGGGGUGACACCUGCCCGGUGCUGGAAGGUUAAGAGGAUCUGUUAAGAGCGAUCUGAAGCAGUGAUCCGAAGCCCCAGUGAACGGCGGCCGUAACUAUAACGGUCCUAAGGUAGCGAAAUUCCUUGUCAGGUAAGUUCUGACCCGCACGAAAGGUGUAACGAUUUGGGCGCUGUCUCGGCAGCAGACUCGGUGAAAUCUUAGUACCUGUGAAAAUGCAGGUUACCCGCAACUAGACGGAAAGACCCCAUGGAGCUUUACUGCAGCCUGAUAUUGAAUUCUGGUCAUACAUGUACAGGAUAGGUGGGAGACAAAGAGACGUGCACGCCAGUGUACGAGGAGUCGACGUUGGGAUACCACUCUUGUGUGACCGGGGUUCUAACCUGGUAUCGAAAACAGGUACGGGGAGAGUGUCAGGUGGGCAGUUUGACUGGGGCGGUCGCCUCCCAAAGAGUAACGGAGGCGCCCAAAGGUACGCUCAGAUUGGAUGGAAACCAAUCGUCGAGUGCAAUUGCAGAAGCGUGCUUGACUGUGAGACUUACAAGUCGAACAGGGACGAAAGUCGGGAAUAGUGAUCCGGCGGUGCCGAAUGGAAGGGCCGUCGCUCAACGGAUAAAAGCUACCCUGGGGAUAACAGGCUGAUCUCGCCCAAGAGUUCACAUCGACGGCGAGGUUUGGCACCUCGAUGUCGGCUCAUCGCAUCCUGGAGCUGAAGUCGGUUCCAAGGGUUGGGCUGUUCGCCCAUUAAAGCGGUACGCGAGCUGGGUUCAGAACGUCGUGAGACAGUUCGGUCCCUAUCUGUUGUGGGCGAAGGAGAUCUGCGGAGAGCUGUCCUCAGUACGAGAGGACCGGGAUGGACCUACCGCUGGUGCACCGGUUGUUCCGCCAGGGGCAUAGCCGGGUAGCUAAGUAGGGAAAGGAUAAGCGCUGAAAGCAUCUAAGCACGAAGCCUACUCCAAGAUGAGAUCUCCCAUUCGCAAGAAGUAAGACCCCUUAAAGACGAUAAGGUAGAUAGGCCAGAGAUGGAAGUGCAGUGAUGUACGGAGUUGACUGGUACUAAUCGGUCGAGGACUUAAUC
RNAcentral lists this ribosomal RNA (1809 nucleotides) under human gut metagenome. RNAcentral's name for it is "bacterial LSU rRNA". It matches the Rfam family "Bacterial large subunit ribosomal RNA", at positions 1098 to 2925 of the family's 2925-position model. The record is from RNAcentral.